This 1203-nucleotide long non-coding RNA is filed under the name Cricetulus griseus (Chinese hamster). Its description in RNAcentral is "lncRNA (ENSCGRG00015032297.1)". The record is from RNAcentral. Lineage: Eukaryota; Metazoa; Chordata; Mammalia; Rodentia; Cricetidae.
CAGCGACAGGAUUUGAGCCACCUGAAGGAGGGACACCAAUAAGGCGUCCGAUAAGACAAGUCUUAUAAAAUAUAUAGAUUUAUGAUAGUUAAGACUAAGCUAACAGAUGAGAAUUCUAGUCACUGGCCAAGCAGCUUUGAACCUAAUACAAGUCUCUCUGUGUAUUAAUUUGGGCCCUAACUCAGGCGGGCAGCUGGCGAAAAGCGCACAUGUGGCAGUAGGGCUCAGGCGGCUUUUGGCAGAAAGAUUUAUCGUAACAAUAGGGUUUUGUGAAACAAUGCAGGCAAGGCUUGACCUCAGUCUGUCACACAAGUAUGCCUUGAACUUGGAAUCCUCCUGAUUCCAUCUCCCAAGUGCAGGAAUUGCAGGUAUGUGCCACCACCAUGCCCAGGCCAGAAUUUCCUUUCAUACAGGGCAGGACUCCCAUGGGCUUGAGCAAAGCAUGGCACAUCAAGUUGAGGAAGGACUGGUCUCCUCCCCCUGCAUCAAGGCUGGGCAAGCUCUGUCUGACCUGGAACUUGCAGUGAUUGCGAAGCAUCUUUUGAGGUGGGAAGACCUACCUUUAAUCUGGGCCACACCUUCUGGGGACAGUCUAUAUAAAGACACAGAAGAAUGAAGCUUUGCUGUCUGCCUGGUUGCUCUCACCGUGCUAGCAAGUCUGUCCAUUUCUUCACUAGCAUUAGAGUUUACUUCUUCAGGAUUCCACCUGAGACAUCAGAACUGUGGACUGAAUAACUACUGGAUUCAUGGGCUUUCUGUUAGUUAGUAAACAGCCAUUGUUGGAUUAGCUGGACCACAGCCUGUAAGCCACUCUAAAACAUUGUGGUGGUUUGAAAGAAAAUGGCCCCCAAAGGUAGUGACACUAUUAGGAGGUGGGGCUUUGUUGGAGGAAGUGUGUCUCGGUGGGGGCUGGCUUUGAGGUCUCUUUUGCUCAAGCUUCCCUCAGUGUGACUGUCAGUUGACUUCCUGUUGCCUGCAAGACGUAGCACUACAAGCGAGCCACCUCAAUUAAAUGUUUUCUUUAUGAGUUGCCAUGGUCAUGGUGUCUCUUCAGAGCAAUAAAAACCUUUAAGAGAGAAGUCUAACAGAUAUAUACAUGUAUCAUAUCAUGUAUUCAUUCAUUCUAUCAGCUCUAUUUCUCUAGAGAAUCCUGGGAAAUACAAGUGUGUACUACCCUUGCAAGAGACCAGAGUUACUUUCCUA